This 73-nucleotide transfer RNA is filed under the name Vibrio parahaemolyticus. RNAcentral's name for it is "tRNA-Lys". It matches the Rfam family "tRNA". From Rfam's summary of the family: Transfer RNA (tRNA) molecules are approximately 80 nucleotides in length. Their secondary structure includes four short double-helical elements and three loops (D, anti-codon, and T loops). The record is from RNAcentral. Lineage: Bacteria; Pseudomonadati; Pseudomonadota; Gammaproteobacteria; Vibrionales; Vibrionaceae.
GGUCGUUAGCUCAGUUGGUAGAGCAGUUGACUUUUAAUCAAUUGGUCGCAGGUUCGAAUCCUGCACGACCCAC